AAUCUAGUGUACCGUUAGGAUCCAAACCUAUUUGAAUCUCUAGGUUAUAAUUUAAGAUUUGUUUGAGCAUGACUUUAACAUAAAGACAGAUGUAAAAUUAUAUUUAUGUUCUAAUUUAUUUUGAGAGCAAUAUUAUUUAUUAUCUAUUUUGUGUAGCUAAUAAUAGUUGGUUAUGUAGUAAUUAAAACAUAAUUUACUAUGUUUGACCCAGACCCGAU
This 218-nucleotide long non-coding RNA is filed under the name Elaeis guineensis (African oil palm). Its description in RNAcentral is "long non-coding RNA (EGUI_LNC027606)". The record is from RNAcentral. Lineage: Eukaryota; Viridiplantae; Streptophyta; Magnoliopsida; Arecales; Arecaceae.